CAACAGUGAUGCUCCUAGUAAUGGCGAAUGAAACGGGCAGAGUCCAGCACCGAACCACUGGCAUUUAUGUCAUGUGGAAUGUGGUGUGUGAGAGAGCCUCAUCGCUUGAUGUUGAUCAGUCCAAGUGCACCUUGACUGGGACCAUUGCCCAUAGAGGGUGAUAGGCCCGUACGACGGUCGACAUCUUGUGCUGGCGUCUUCUCCAGAGUCGAGUUGCUUGGGAGUGCAGCUCAAAGUGCGAGGUAAACUCCUCGUAAGACUAAAUAUGACCCCAAGACCGAUAGCGAACAAGUACCGUGAGGGAAAGUUGAAAAGGACUUUGAAGAGAGAGUUCAAGAGUACGUGAAACUGCAUAAUGGUAAACAGAGGCGUUCUCGAAGUUUGGAGCAGAGAUUCAGGUUUUCGACUUUAAUCGGUCGGCGGCUGUAUUUCUCUGCGUCUGAACACGACGGAUCGUUGGUGUUAAAGAUGGACAGAGCUUGAAGUUAUUCUGCUUUUGCUCCAAUUUUGACGCUUACGGUGUUUGUACAUCACUUUUGUGGUGUGCUGUUGUUGUGAGUAGGUCGGCGGCGUCUCUGACCCGUCUUGAAACACGGACCAAGGAGUCUAACAUGUGUGCAAGUCGCAGAGUUUACUAAACUCUUGGGCACAGUGAAAGCGAAGAAUGCCUUUUGGUGUUUGAAGGAUGAUCAUUGCCCCACGUGGGUAGUGCGCAAUCCUGGCGUUUUGUAUUGACCUCGUUUCAUGCAGAACAGCAAGAGCAUACAUGUUGGGGCCCGAAAGAUGCGUGAACUAUGCCUGGCCAGGUUGAAGUCAGGGGAAACUCUGAUGGAGGACCGUAGCGAUUCUGACGUGCAAAUCGAUCGUCGGAGCUGGGUAUAGGGGCGAAAGACUAAUCGAACCUUCUAU
Molecule: ribosomal RNA, 909 nt
Filed under: Monstrillopsis sp. 5 SYB-2016
Lineage: Eukaryota; Metazoa; Arthropoda; Copepoda; Monstrilloida; Monstrillidae
Description: partial 28S ribosomal RNA
Rfam family: Eukaryotic large subunit ribosomal RNA
Source: RNAcentral